AUACGGGGGGUGCAAGCGUUAAUCGGAAUUACUGGGCGUAAAGCGCGCGUAGGCGGUUUGCUCAGUCGGAUGUGAAAGCCCAGGGCUCAACCUUGGAACUGCAUACGAUACUGGCAAACUAGAGUGUGAGAGAGGAUAGUGGAAUUUCCGGUGUAGCGGUGAAAUGCGUAGAUAUCGGAAGGAACAUCAGUGGGGAAGGCGACUGUCUGGCUCAACACUGACGCUGAGGUGCGAAAGCGUGGGUAGCAAACAGGAUUAGAAACCCUAGUAGUCC
Molecule: ribosomal RNA, 274 nt
Filed under: uncultured bacterium
Lineage: Bacteria
Description: partial 16S ribosomal RNA
Rfam family: Bacterial small subunit ribosomal RNA
Source: RNAcentral